This 66-nucleotide ribosomal RNA is filed under the name Nicotiana attenuata. Its description in RNAcentral is "5.8S ribosomal RNA". It matches the Rfam family "5.8S ribosomal RNA", at positions 1 to 66 of the family's 154-position model. Rfam says of the family: 5.8S ribosomal RNA (5.8S rRNA) is a component of the large subunit of the eukaryotic ribosome. It is transcribed by RNA polymerase I as part of the 45S precursor that also contains 18S and 28S rRNA. Functionally, it is thought that 5.8S rRNA may be involved in ribosome translocation. Lineage: Eukaryota; Viridiplantae; Streptophyta; Magnoliopsida; Solanales; Solanaceae. The record is from Rfam by way of RNAcentral.
GACUCUCGGCAACAGAUAUCUUGGCUCUCGCAUCGAUGAAGAACGUAGCGAAAUGCGAUACUUGGU